ACUCCUACGGGAGGCAGCAGUGGGGAAUAUUGCACAAUGGGCGCAAGCCUGAUGCAGCCAUGCCGCGUGUAUGAAGAAGGCCUUCGGGUUGUAAAGUACUUUCAGCAGUGAGGAAGGUGGGUAUGUUAAUAGCAUACUCAUUUGACGUUAGCUGCAGAAGAAGCACCGGCUAACUCCGUGCCAGCAGCCGCGGUAAUACGGAGGGUGCGAGCGUUAAUCGGAAUUACUGGGCGUAAAGCGCAUGCAGGUGGUUUGUUAAGUCAGAUGUGAAAGCCCGGGGCUCAACCUCGGAAUUGCAUUUGAAACUGGCAAACUAGAGUACUGUAGAGGGGGGUAGAAUUUCAGGUGUAGCGGUGAAAUGCGUAGAGAUCUGAAGGAAUACCGGUGGCGAAGGCGGCCCCCUGGACAGAUACUGACACUCAGAUGCGAAAGCGUGGGGGAGCAAACAGGAUUAGAUACCCUGGUAGGCUCUAGC
RNAcentral lists this ribosomal RNA (475 nucleotides) under uncultured bacterium. Its description in RNAcentral is "bacterial SSU rRNA". It matches the Rfam family "Bacterial small subunit ribosomal RNA", at positions 335 to 800 of the family's 1533-position model. The record is from RNAcentral.